ACUUGAGUAGUUUAAUGAAAAUAUUGAUUUGUGGUGUCGAAGAUGUAAUAAUUACCUUAGGUU
Molecule: transfer RNA, 63 nt
Filed under: Callimenellus fumidus
Lineage: Eukaryota; Metazoa; Arthropoda; Insecta; Orthoptera; Tettigoniidae
Description: tRNA-His
Source: RNAcentral